UUUUUUUUGAGCUACUUCAAUUCUGCUUUACUUAUAGAGCAUAGUACCUUAUUUGAUGCAGGCACAUUUUGCAGGAUGAUUCUAUGCCAUUGUCUUUUAUAGGUCACAGUUGAUACCAAAGUUCUUCAGAGACUUUGAGAAUGUCCUUGCUUCACUUCUUCUGCCUUCUGUGUGAAUACUUGCCUUGUGUUGAGUUCUUGAUGAAGCAAUGUAGACUCAAGAAAAAGAAAAUGACUUGUGAAAGUUCACAGAUUUAGAACAAGAAGUCAGGUCUCUUAGCAACAGGAUUCAAAGUCUCCUUGCAGAAGAGGUGGUUGAAGAGACUGGUUCUGGUAUGGAAGACAAGACGUCUGACAUCUAUUCUGAUCAGGAAGAAUGGCAGUUAUCAGUCCAUUUUUUUGGCCUAUUAAGUUUUGAUCUAGCAGCUGCCCAGGUAUAAUUGGUUUGACAACCAUUGAGCAACAUACAUUUUACGUCAGGAUCAGCAUGGAGCAGCUUCUGCUUUUUCAGAUUGGCACAAGAAAUUAAAUGGGAAUUUGUGGAGUUUUAUGAAAGAUACAGAGGACAUAUGAAAGCCAGCAGAUGAUAGAGAACUUAUGACCAAAUACCAAACCCACAUCUUACAAUAAUGUAUUGUAUAUACUAUACAAAAGAAAAAGAAA
RNAcentral lists this long non-coding RNA (662 nucleotides) under Sarcophilus harrisii (Tasmanian devil). RNAcentral describes it as "lncRNA (ENSSHAG00000031632.1)". The record is from RNAcentral. Lineage: Eukaryota; Metazoa; Chordata; Mammalia; Dasyuromorphia; Dasyuridae.